CAUAAGGCUCUCUUUAGAGCCACAAAUUUAAUGAGUGAAACGAGA
Molecule: non-coding RNA, 45 nt
Organism: Meloidogyne hapla
Lineage: Eukaryota; Metazoa; Nematoda; Chromadorea; Rhabditida; Meloidogynidae
Source: Rfam